RNAcentral lists this transfer RNA (67 nucleotides) under Marmota monax (woodchuck). RNAcentral's name for it is "tRNA.Ala". It matches the Rfam family "tRNA". Rfam says of the family: Transfer RNA (tRNA) molecules are approximately 80 nucleotides in length. Their secondary structure includes four short double-helical elements and three loops (D, anti-codon, and T loops). Lineage: Eukaryota; Metazoa; Chordata; Mammalia; Rodentia; Sciuridae. The record is from RNAcentral.
GGUUGUAGCUCAAUGGUAGAGCACUUGCCUAGCAUGCAAGAGGCACUGGAUUCAAUCCCCAGCGCCA